This 1662-nucleotide long non-coding RNA is filed under the name Homo sapiens (human). Its description in RNAcentral is "HSALNT0122345". The record is from RNAcentral. Lineage: Eukaryota; Metazoa; Chordata; Mammalia; Primates; Hominidae.
GAAUGCUUACUUUCACAGUAGAAGAAUGAGAAAAUGUAUUAAGAGGAGAUGCAGAUGGAGAACCUGAAGAGAACCAGAGAUGCACAUAUUCAAUGAGGAUUUUCUAUAAGUAAAGGCAGUGAAAAAGUUGAAGCUUUGUGUUAUUAAGAGAUUUACUGAAGCCACGUUCCUGACAUAGCCCCAAUGUACAUGCAGCACGGCUCCCUCCAGGGCCUGUUGCGGUCACCCAGCUCUUGCUCCAGCCAAGCCUCAGCCUUCUCUCUGAUGGAGAUUUGAAGAUAAUGUGAGUUGCUUAUGGUGUUAAGAUGAACUAUGUAGAAAAAAACUAUUGAUCUGUAUGUCAAUAAUUAGAUGACAAGUUAUAGCCUCCCCCAAAUGUUACAAUGCAUGAAUUUUUCUCAAAAAGCAUUUAUACAUUUAAAAAAGAUGAAUGAUGUUGGCAUUAUGGUGAUCCUUUCAUUUCUGUUGCACUAGAAGUAGUUUGGUUGUUCUUUAGAUUGGAGAGGGGAGUAGGGAAAUACCUUCCAGAUGUCCUUAAAAAUAAAGUGAAAAGAUCUGUAUGCUAGAUGGAUCUUGGCUGAAGGAUCAUAGUACAAAAAGUGCCUCAAAUAUAAAUCAUCUUGUGAUUAGAUUUUUAACAAGCCUUCCAGGUAAACCAAAUGACAGCACUCAGUGUCUUAGUAAAUGGUUUCAAAGGAUUAGUUUCCCUAAUAGUUUGCUUCCUCUGACCUGGCACAGAGUUCUCUUUGCCCCCUGGAGAUGAUAUACAUUUUCCCAUGCUCACAGAGAACAGGAUGAGUCAACAAACUUUAGCUAGAAACUCAGCCAGCGAGGUUUCUGCCCUCUUGAGUAAGAACUUCACUGGAUGCUCACCUGGAACUUCUAAUUGAAGCCCUUCUCUGACUCUGAACAAUGUCACCAGUGGUCCAAGAUUCAGAAAAAUUGCCCUAUAUGUGAUGUGUGCAAAAAUUAGGCUUGGGAAUUGUUCCUAAAAUUUACUGUUAUCAACACCGGAAUUUUUAAAAUUUCAAAGAUUCUUUCUUUUUUUUUUUUUUGAAGUAUGUGCUUAUAUUGAAAGUGAUUACAUAUAAAUAUAAAUAUAAAUAAUAUUAAUUUUUGUUUUAAAGAAAAUCAUCUUUUUCUCAUUAUCUUAGGACUAGUUAGGUAUCCAUAAUCCCACAACAGCCACAAAGAAAAAACCAUCUUCAGAAAAAAAGAUAUUUACUAUUUCAAGUAUAACUUUACCCAGACUGUAGCAUUGCUUUAAAUAAAGUUAACACUUCAAGAGAAAACAACAUGUUUUACUAAGGAAAUUUACUAUAAUAUAUAAUUUAUUUUCAAUUAAGUUUUUACUAAAUAAAGCAUUAAUUGAUUUUUUCUAUUUUAUUAAAGUAAACUUUUAACUUUAAAAAAUAUUAUACCAUUAUUUUAACAUAAAAAUAUUAUUUGCAUGUUACUUUGUCACAAGCGUGUAUCCAUUUAUAAUUAUAUAUAAUGUAAUAUAUUUUUAUUUUAUUUUAGUUCUUAAAUAAAAUAUUUAUAUAGUUUCACAUUUUCAACUACAUAUAGGUGUGUGUGUUCAGUUUAUGGCUAUGUGUGUCAUACAUUUCUCAUUAUACUUCUCAUUUUAUGAUGUUGAGAAGUUGAAACCCUGAACACUUG